AGUACCGCGAACGUAUUUUACCUUUCUAUAAUUCUAAUUAGAAAAUACUUGUAUUAAUUAAAAACGGGAAAGCAACAAUGAACUAACGCCACUGAUGUGGUGCAACUGACUAGAUUGGAACAGUGGAACUAAAACUGCAAUGGAAAAUGGUGCGCGGUGCGUCAGUUAUAAAUACUUUGAAUCGUGAAUUUACAACUAAAUUUUUGUUCCGUCGUUAAAUAUUGUGAAUUAUAAUUGAUUUUUACAUCUCGUGAAAUUAUAAAUUUAUGUUAGUCAUUUUUAUUUGUAUCAUAUUUUUGCAAUUAAAAAUUGAAGAAAUAACGGACAGAAAAACAAGAUGGUUGUCGCAUAAGUGUCAUUGUUGAUUCUCUUUGCUUGUCUAGUAAUUUUGGUUUUUUCUCUUUUAAUCUUUGACAAUAAGUCAACAUAAAUAUUAUAUUUAUUAUUUAUUCGAGGAGUAAAAGAACUAACGAAGUAACAAUUUAUAUAUGCUUACAUAAUUUUAGAUAUAUCAUCAGCUCGUGGAUACCGGCCGGUUUUUUCGCGCACUUUCUUCCUUGCAGUUAAUAGAAAUCAGAAUAGACAGUGUUUUACAGGAAUAAAGUUUUUAUUUGUAAAAAUAAUUGUUCGUGACUUUUAUAACUUUGCAGUGUCGUAUAUAAUUGUCAAAUCUCAAUAUUUUUCGUGUCAGUCAGUGUAAAUUCGUCGUGUUUACAUAUGUUGGUGUCAAUUUACAUUGAUAUUUUUUUUCUAUUUUUUGGUUAAUUGUUGUUUUAUCGAGAAUAACGUUUAUUCAUUUAUUUUCUAAAGUUGCAUAUCAUGUCUCAAAAGCCACGUAAUUUUGGGGGUAUCGUGCGUGUGUUAGUAUUUUAUUUAAAUGCGGGUUUAAAAAUAUUUAUUGUUUUUCUGUCAAGUAAUAGUAUUCAAUUUUAUGAAUAUCGAGUGCGUGAGUGUUUCUUGAAAAAAAAAAGAUGGUUGAUGUAAAUUAACUUCAAAUUUCCAAAGCAGACUAUGAUGCAGAAAAAAAGGAUAAUAAAAUUUCCAGUCUCAGCCAUUGAUUCGACAAGGGAAUAAUUCACAAUCGAUUCUAUCCUCGAUAUAAGGACACAGAAUUCUUUAUAUUCAGACUUUUUAGAACUCGGUCUAUUUUUUACGGUUAUUUUUCACAUUUUCUGAAUGGAAAAUUUAACUUGAAAGUAGGGAUCUCCGAGGGCUAAUUAGUUUGAAAGAAUCUCCUUGAAGCUGAAAAUUCGUCAUUAAGAUGCAGCAGGGAGGAAAAACUAGAUGCAGCAAAAGGUUCAUCGAAGG
Molecule: long non-coding RNA, 1308 nt
Organism: Leptopilina boulardi
Lineage: Eukaryota; Metazoa; Arthropoda; Insecta; Hymenoptera; Figitidae
Exons: 5
Source: RefSeq, a predicted model, not a curated record